Molecule: small nucleolar RNA, 127 nt
Organism: Talpa occidentalis (Iberian mole)
Lineage: Eukaryota; Metazoa; Chordata; Mammalia; Eulipotyphla; Talpidae
Product: small nucleolar RNA SNORA63
Exons: 1
Source: RefSeq, a predicted model, not a curated record
AUGCAGGAUCUACUUACAAUGUAGCUGUGAAGUGCUGCAUUGCCUUUGCCCCCUGCUCAAAGCAAAAUUGUUACCAUUCUAGCCCUGUCCGCUGCUGUAGCUACCAGGGAUGCGUGGUCUCAUACAU